This 799-nucleotide ribosomal RNA is filed under the name uncultured Bacillota bacterium. RNAcentral's name for it is "bacterial SSU rRNA". It matches the Rfam family "Bacterial small subunit ribosomal RNA", at positions 58 to 888 of the family's 1533-position model. Lineage: Bacteria; Bacillati; Bacillota. The record is from RNAcentral.
CAAGUCGAACGAGAAAGCAGGAGCAAUCUUGUGAGUAAAGUGGCGUACGGGUGAGUAACACGUGGAUCAUCUACCCUCUUGUGGGGGAUAACUCUGGGAAACCGGAGCUAAUACCGCAUAAGUCCGAGAGGAGAAAGCAGCAAUGCGCAGGAGGAGGAGUCCGCGGCCGAUUAGCUAGUUGGUAGGGUAAAAGCCUACCAAGGCUACGAUCGGUAGCCGGCCUGAGAGGGCACACGGCCACACUGGCACUGAAACACGGGCCAGACUCCUACGGGAGGCAGCAGUGGGGAAUCUUGCACAAUGGGGGCAACCCUGAUGCAGCGACGCCGCGUGAGCGAUGAAGCCCUUCGGGGUGUAAAGCUCUUUCGGCAGGGAAGAUUAUGACGGUACCUGCAGAAGCAGCUGCGGCUAACUACGUGCCAGCAGCCGCGGUAAUACGUAGGCAGCAAGCGUUGUUCGGAGUUACUGGGCGUAAAGGGUGUGUAGGCGGUCUUCUAAGUUUGGUGUGAAAUCUCCCGGCUCAACUGGGAGGGUGCGCCGAAAACUGGGAGGCUAGAGUGCGGGAUGGGAGAGUGGAAUUCCUGGUGUAGCGGUGAAAUGCGUAGAUAUCAGGAGGAACACCUGUGGUGUAGACGGCUCUCUGGACCGCAACUGACGCUGAGACACGAAAGCGUGGGUAGCAAACAGGAUUAGAUACCCUGGUAGUCCACGCCCUAAACGAUGCAUAUUUGGUGUGGGCCAUUCAUUUGGUCCGUGCCGGAGCUAACGCGUUAAAUAUGCCGCCUGGGGAGUACGGUCG